GCGUCCCAUUAGCUAGUUGGUAAGGUAAAGGCUUACCAAGGCUACGAUGGGUAGCUGGUCUGAGAGGAUGAUCAGCCACACUGGGACUGAGAUACGGCCCAGACUCCUACGGGAGGCAGCAGUGAGGAAUAUUGCGCAAUGGGCGAAGGCUUGACGCAGCAACGCCGUGUGAGCGAUGAAGCCUUUCGGGGUGUAAAGCUCUGUCAGAAGGGAAGAACAAUUCCGAUUUGUCGGAAUCUGACGGUACCUUCAGAGGAAGCACCGGCUAACUCCGUGCCAGCAGCCGCGGUAAUACGGAGGGUGCAAGCGUUGUCCGGAUUUAUUGGGCGUAAAGGGUGCGUAGGCGGAUUAGUUAGUCGGAAGUGAAAUCUCUACCGCUUAACGGAGAGUGUGCUUUCGAUACUGCUAAUCUAGAGUUCAGGAGAGGGUGAUGGAAUUCCUGGUGUAGCGGUGGAAUGCGUAGAUAUCAGGAAGAACACCGGUGGCGAAGGCGAUCACCUGGACUGACACUGACGCUGAUGCACGAAAGCGUGGGGAGCAAACAGGAUUAGAUACCCUGGUAGUCCACGCCGUAAACGAUGGGCACUAGGUGCCGGGCGAUUCGACCCGUUCGGUGCCGCAGCUAACGCAUUAAGUGCCCCGCCUGGGGAGUACG
RNAcentral lists this ribosomal RNA (655 nucleotides) under uncultured Actinomycetes bacterium. RNAcentral describes it as "bacterial SSU rRNA". It matches the Rfam family "Bacterial small subunit ribosomal RNA", at positions 233 to 884 of the family's 1533-position model. Lineage: Bacteria; Bacillati; Actinomycetota; Actinomycetes. The record is from RNAcentral.